GUUCCCCGCGUUUUGGGAAGGAAGGAGGGAUUCCCGCCCCGCCCCCUCUUGGUGCCUACGCAUGGACUGGGUAUAUAAGACGCACCAUAGACGGGAAAGGCAUAUUGUCCCUCCUCUGUGGCACGACAGACGUUCACUUGCACCAGGAUGAAGCUGAUUUCGCUGUUGAUGGCUCUGGUUGUGGCCCUGUCUGGCCUCCUGGGUUCAGCUCGUGCCAUGCCUGACCCCUACCCUGUGGCUGACCCCGUGGCUAACCCUGACCCCGUAGCUGACCCCUGGUUCUUCAAACGCAAGCACUACUACCCCCGCCGUCACUACUACCCAAGCUACCAUCACUACCACCACUGGUGAAGAAGAGGAAACCUUUUUUCUACCUGGAAAACAUUAAUUACCACAACCAGUAAAAAUAUCCUUCAGUGACCUUACAAACCGAUGUCCUAAUCUAACCUAAUCUCCAUGUCUCCUUAAACUUACAGUAUAAUAAAAUCCUGUUAGAUA
This 498-nucleotide long non-coding RNA is filed under the name Penaeus japonicus. Its description in RNAcentral is "uncharacterized LOC122247923". The record is from RNAcentral. Lineage: Eukaryota; Metazoa; Arthropoda; Malacostraca; Decapoda; Penaeidae.